Molecule: ribosomal RNA, 496 nt
Filed under: uncultured bacterium
Lineage: Bacteria
Description: partial 16S ribosomal RNA
Rfam family: Bacterial small subunit ribosomal RNA
Source: RNAcentral
GAUGAACGCUGGCGGCGUGCCUAAUACAUGCAAGUCGAGCGAACGGACGAGAAGCUUGCUUCUCUGAUGUUAGCGGCGGACGGGUGAGUAACACGUGUAUAACCUACCUAUAAGACUGGGAUAACUUCGGGAAACCGGAGCUAAUACCGGAUAAUAUUUUGAACCGCAUGGUUCAAAAGUGAAAGACGGUCUUGCUGUCACUUAUAGAUGGAUCCGCGCUGCAUUAGCUAGUUGGUAAGGUAACGGCUUACCAAGGCAACGAUGCAUAGCCGACCUGAGAGGGUGAUCGGCCACACUGGAACUGAGACACGGUCCAGACUCCUACGGGAGGCAGCAGUAGGGAAUCUUCCGCAAUGGGCGAAAGCCUGACGGAGCAACGCCGCGUGAGUGAUGAAGGUCUUCGGAUCGUAAAACUCUGUUAUUAGGGAAGAACAUAUGUGUAAGUAACUGUGCACAUCUUGACGGUACCUAAUCAGAAAGCCACGGCUAACUACGU